GGGGCUUUGGUUCUGUGGUAGAGCACCUGCUUUGAAUGCAGAAGGUCCCAGGUUGAAUUCCUGGAAUCUCCA
This 72-nucleotide transfer RNA is filed under the name Sphaerodactylus townsendi. RNAcentral describes it as "tRNA-Ser". It matches the Rfam family "tRNA". From Rfam's summary of the family: Transfer RNA (tRNA) molecules are approximately 80 nucleotides in length. Their secondary structure includes four short double-helical elements and three loops (D, anti-codon, and T loops). Further hydrogen bonds mediate the characteristic L-shaped molecular structure. tRNAs have two regions of fundamental functional importance: the anti-codon, which is responsible for specific mRNA codon recognition, and the 3' end, to which the tRNAs corresponding amino acid is attached (by aminoacyl-tRNA synthetases). tRNAs cope with the degeneracy of the genetic code in two manners: having more than one tRNA (with a specific anti-codon) for a particular amino acid; and 'wobble' base-pairing, i.e. permitting non-standard base-pairing at the 3rd anti-codon position. Lineage: Eukaryota; Metazoa; Chordata; Lepidosauria; Squamata; Sphaerodactylidae. The record is from RNAcentral.